UACGUAGGGUGCGAGCGUUAAUCGGAAUUACUGGGCGUAAAGCGUGCGCAGGCGGUCUGUUAAGACCGAUGUGAAAUCCCCGGGCUUAACCUGGGAAUGGCAUUCGGGACUGCAAGGCUGGAGUGCGGCAGAGGAGACUGGAAUUCCUGGUGUAGCAGUGAAAUGCGUAGAUAUCAGGAGGAACACCGAUGGCGAAGGCAGGUCUCUGGGCUGACACUGACGCUCAUGCACGAAAGCGUGGGGAGCAAACAGG
RNAcentral lists this ribosomal RNA (253 nucleotides) under uncultured bacterium. RNAcentral's name for it is "partial 16S ribosomal RNA". It matches the Rfam family "Bacterial small subunit ribosomal RNA", at positions 524 to 776 of the family's 1533-position model. The record is from RNAcentral.